Molecule: ribosomal RNA, 469 nt
Filed under: uncultured bacterium
Lineage: Bacteria
Description: partial 16S ribosomal RNA
Rfam family: Bacterial small subunit ribosomal RNA
Source: RNAcentral
GACGAACGCUGGCGGCGUGCUUAACACAUGCAAGUCGAACGGAAAGGCCCUGCUUGCAGGGUGCUCGAGUGGCGAACGGGUGAGUAACACGUGGGUGAUCUGCCCCUUACUUUGGGAUAAGCCUGGGAAACUGGGUCUAAUACUGGAUAGGACCAUGCUGUAGGUGGUGUGGUGGAAAGAUUAGUUUCGGUAAGGGAUGAGCUCGCGGCCUAUCAGCUUGUUGGUGGGGUAAUGGCCUACCAAGGCGUCGACGGGUAGCCGGCCUGAGAGGGUGGACGGCCACAUUGGGACUGAGAUACGGCCCAGAAUCCUACGGGAGGCAGCAGUGGGGAAUAUUGCACAAUGGGCGCAAGCCUGAUGCAGCGACGCCGCGUGGGGGAUGACGGCCUUCGGGUUGUAAACUCCUUUCAGCCAUGACGAAGCCCUUGUGGUGACGGUAGUGGUAGAAGAAGCACCGGCUAACUACGUG